AGUGCGGUAAGCUAACUAAGCUAUUGGGCCCAUACCUCAACUAUGGAGGUUAAACUCCUCCCUUCACUA
RNAcentral lists this transfer RNA (69 nucleotides) under Pennahia aneus (bigeye croaker). Its description in RNAcentral is "tRNA-Met". It matches the Rfam family "tRNA". From Rfam's summary of the family: Transfer RNA (tRNA) molecules are approximately 80 nucleotides in length. Their secondary structure includes four short double-helical elements and three loops (D, anti-codon, and T loops). The record is from RNAcentral. Lineage: Eukaryota; Metazoa; Chordata; Actinopteri; Sciaenidae.